This 253-nucleotide ribosomal RNA is filed under the name uncultured bacterium. Its description in RNAcentral is "partial 16S ribosomal RNA". It matches the Rfam family "Bacterial small subunit ribosomal RNA", at positions 524 to 776 of the family's 1533-position model. The record is from RNAcentral.
UCCGGAGGGUGCGAGCGUUGUCCGGAAUCAUUGGGCGUAAAGGGCGCGUAGGUGGCCUGUUAAGCGUGCGGUGAAAGCUCGGGGCUCAACCCCAAGUCGGCCGUGCGAACUGGGAGGCUGGAGCACUGUAGAGGCAGGCGGAAUUCCGGGUGUAGCGGUGGAAUGCGUAGAGAGCCGGAAGAACAGCGGUGGCGAAGGCGGCCUGCGGGGCAGUUGCUGACACUGAGGCGCGACAGCGUGGGGAGCAAACAGG